Molecule: microRNA precursor, 190 nt
Filed under: Paramuricea clavata
Lineage: Eukaryota; Metazoa; Cnidaria; Anthozoa; Malacalcyonacea; Plexauridae
Source: RNAcentral
CACGAAACGUUUGUUCGCCACCACAGGCCACAGCAACCUAACUAAAUGUAUUAUAUUUUUUGUAUUUUUAUAAUUGAUGAUAAAUAUACACAAAUAUUUAUUGUUUUUAUCAAAAAUCACAAAUAUACAAUAAAUAUAAUGUACCUAACUUAGGUUGCUGUGGCCUGUGGUGGCGAACAAACGUUUCGUG